RNAcentral lists this long non-coding RNA (374 nucleotides) under Pongo abelii (Sumatran orangutan). Its description in RNAcentral is "lncRNA (ENSPPYG00000036946.1)". Lineage: Eukaryota; Metazoa; Chordata; Mammalia; Primates; Hominidae. The record is from RNAcentral.
GCAGCUGCCACAGAGGACACCAGGUCAUGCCAACACCCCCACAACUCCUGCCCGCCUGCAGGCAGCUCUGGGCUCAGGACACCGCCUCCAAGAACCUUUAUAGCGCAGCUCUCCAAAUCUUGGAGGCAAGGACAUUCUAUGUGGCCGCCCUGGAAAGGCCUGAACCUAUAAUAUCUGGGCUGCGAUGGUUUCUGAGGUGGACACCAGGACCAACACUUGUCAGCAUGGCACAAUCAGGCAUUUCUCCUCUAAGAGGAUGUGCAGCCAAAAACUCAGCUGUCUGUGAGCUGUCUUCUCCCAGGAACGAGGACAUAAGAUGUACAUCAGGGGAACAUCUUAGGCUAGUGUGUCGACUUCUGACUUGGCUCCUCUGA